UGGAUUCCCCCUUUUAUUUUGUCUUUUAUCUCUCAUCUUUUUACUGUUAUCCAUCAUUCUCUAUCUUUGUAUUUUAGCAAGUCUUAAGUCUCUAGUCUAAUCCUUGUUUUUUUUUGUGUGUUUUUUUUCUUCCUUAAUCUGUAUUCUUUAAAAACCCACUCCACAACCUCAUUUGCGGCAUGGUAUUGAACACAAAUGCUUGAUAUUUCGCCAUACAGUUAUAGAUGUUGAAUUCUAUGAUAUUCAUGGUAAUUGUCUGGAUAAUUUUAAUUUGUAAAUGAAACGUGAAGCAUUGUCACAAAUGUAAAAAUAAGUAGAUGUGGUAAGAUUGCCAAUGAGACAACUAUCCACCAAAGUUCACAUGCAGUGGAUUAAGCAAAGACGGAAAACUUCAGCAAUGAAGAAAACCAAUAGUGUCAAGUCGAAUGCAACGACAUGAAGAAUAUGAAACAAUUCAAUUGAGAAAUUCAACAUCCAAAC
Molecule: long non-coding RNA, 480 nt
Filed under: Mytilus galloprovincialis (Mediterranean mussel)
Lineage: Eukaryota; Metazoa; Mollusca; Bivalvia; Mytilida; Mytilidae
Source: RNAcentral